CUUUUAUCCUGGUUCCCCUUAAAGGAUAUUUGUGUGGGAGAACUUUCCUGCGCCCGAGAUCAACCAAUAGUUCACGUGGGGGGAUUUUCGAAAGAUAGAACUCAAAAGAAUUGACGGGGACCCGCCACAAGCGUGUGGAGCAUUGGUUUAUUCGAAGCAACGGGAAGAACCUUACCCAAUCUUGACAUCCUCUGACCGACUAACCGGGUCUUUCUUCGGGACAGAGGAGACAGGUGGUGCAUGGUGUCGUCAGCUCGUGUCGUGAGAUGUUGGGUUAAGUCCCGCAACGAGCGCAACCCCUAUUACUAGUAGCCAGCAGUUCGGCUGGGCACUCUAGUGAGACUGCCGGGGAUAACCCGGAGGAAGGUGGGGAUGACGUCAAAUCAUCAUGCCCCUUACGAUUUGGGCUACACACGUGCUACAAUGGCGUAAACAAAGGGAAGCGACCCCGCGAGGGGCGAGCAAAUCUCAAAAAUAACGUCUCAGUUCGGAUUGUAGUCUGCAACUCGCUACAUGAAGCUGGAAUCGCUAGUAAUCGCAGAUCAGAAUGCUGCGGUGAAUACGUUCCCGGGUCUUGUACACACCGCCCGUCACACCAUGGGAGUCGAUAAUGCCCGAAGUCAGUGACCUAACCGCAAGGAAGGAGCUGCCGAAGGCAGGAUUGAUAACUGGGGUGAAGUCGUAACAAGGUAGCCGUAUCGGAAGGUGC
This 709-nucleotide ribosomal RNA is filed under the name uncultured bacterium. Its description in RNAcentral is "bacterial SSU rRNA". It matches the Rfam family "Bacterial small subunit ribosomal RNA", at positions 779 to 1515 of the family's 1533-position model. The record is from RNAcentral.